This 460-nucleotide ribosomal RNA is filed under the name uncultured Bacteroidota bacterium. RNAcentral describes it as "uncultured Bacteroidetes bacterium partial 16S ribosomal RNA". The record is from RNAcentral. Lineage: Bacteria; Pseudomonadati; Bacteroidota.
GACUACUGGGGUAUCUAAUCCUGUUUGAUCCCCACGCUUUCGUGCCUCAGCGUCAAUGAUGGAUUAGUAAGCUGCCUUCGCAAUCGGUGUUCUGUGUAAUAUCUAAGCAUUUCACCGCUACACUACACAUUCCGCCUACCUCAUCCAUAUUCAAGUCUAACAGUAUCAAUGGCAAUCCUAACGUUAAGCGCCAGACUUUCACCACUGACUUAUUAAACCACCUGCGCACCCUUUAAACCCAAUAAAUCCGGAUAACGCUUGCAUCCUCCGUAUUACCGCGGCUGCUGGCACGGAGUUAGCCGAUGCUUAUUCCUGUCCUACCGGCAUCACUCGUCUCGACGAGCUUAUUCUUCAAACAGAAAAGAAGUUUACAACCCGUAGGGCCUUCUUCCUUCACGCGGGAUGGCUGGUUCAGGCUUGCGCCCAUUGACCAAUAUUCCUCACUGCAGCCUCCCGUAGG